Molecule: long non-coding RNA, 856 nt
Filed under: Capra hircus (goat)
Lineage: Eukaryota; Metazoa; Chordata; Mammalia; Artiodactyla; Bovidae
Description: lncRNA (ENSCHIG00010017098.1)
Source: RNAcentral
AUGCAGAAGCCAAGUUUCUGUUCCCCCAUGGGUACUUCCUUCUUUCUCUUGCCAUUCCCAUUCUUCCCCUCAGCUCCUGCUGCUCCCUGCUAUGGUAUGAAACACUCAAAGGAUGGGAUACAGACAAGGGCACUGGGGUCGGGGUGGGGGGUGGUGUGGGCAGAGCAUUUCUUCCCCUCUGAGAUGUCCUCACGCAGGGUAAUGCCCACAACAUUUGCUUUGGGUAAAAUUUCUUUCUGUGGAUCAGUCCCUAGCACUUUCAGAGAGUUCAGAAAAUUUUGUGACUUAUAUAUCUGUUUUUUUUUUUUUUUGCUUUGGAGAAUUUCUCAGUUUCUCAAAGAAAGACUAGACUACAACAUGAAGACUGCUUAUCUCUCCCUGGCCUCAAGUCAUUUUCCUUUCCAAGAGGGAGUUUUCAGUGAAGAGACCUUUUCCUGUGAAUCAUGCUCCCUUCUGCAGUAUUUCGUGUGUCCCAGCAGUAGACACAAAGAUCUGUAUCUGUGUGCAUAUAUCUGUCCAACAGCUUGUGAAUAAUCCUAUCUCAUCAAAAGCAUGUCCUCUGAAAAUCUGUAGGAAGUUCACGUCCACAGAUUUUCACCCCUGUCAUCCAUUCCUAAUGCCAGCUCACAGUAAAAUAGGAAAUUUUUACUCUCUGAUGGUGUGAAGGCACGGUAGGGGAAGCUGGAGAAGACAGACUGUCACAGAAUCAUGAUUAAUCCUAUGAUAAUAACCCAGCCAUGCAAAUUAACACAGACCUAUACUCUGUAACAGAUUAGGCCAAGAUUGAAGGAAAUUGAGGUGUUCAGUUCAGUUUAGUUCAGUUCAGUUCAGUUGCUCAGUUGUGUCCGACUCUUUG